GGCGCCGGUGGUGGCACUCCCUGAGGGACGGGGUUCGAAUCCCCGCGGCGCC
Molecule: small RNA, 52 nt
Organism: Coturnix japonica (Japanese quail)
Lineage: Eukaryota; Metazoa; Chordata; Aves; Galliformes; Phasianidae
Source: Ensembl